CUUCAUCUAUUGGAAGCCCACAUUCAAACCCAAAUUUGCUGUGAAUAGAAUCCUCGCUCAAGCCGACGGAGACUCAUCCUCUUCAUCUUCUUCAUCCUCCAUUGGAGUAACCUAACCGUUUCGAAAUCUUUGGACACACCUCCGUAACGUUGGCAUCACACCUCUAAGGGUCAUGAAGCCCCAUAAUUUGUGAUUCCCUCAGCCUUUCACCUUAUAUAUACCUUUAUCCCAAUCAAAGUUUUAAUUACUCAAUUCUUCAACAAUGUCUCUCUUGGAUUGGGGGAAGGCGGAGAUACGUUUCCGUUUAAUCCAUGUUUCGGAAGCAAGGAACACAACCGAAGUGGGAGUUCUAAUUGGGCUAGGACUGCUUUUGAUCUACGAGCAGGUGGGAACAUGGUGUCGUGAAGAGCCUCUAAAAGACGAGAUCCGUGCGAAGAGACGUUGUGCCCAGAAAUAUUGUCUCUUCUUCAGUGUUUAUUUGUCGAUGAUAAUCCAUCUGAGGGUUUACCUUCUUAAAAGGCAGCUGCGGUGGUGCUCACUCAGUAGUUUUCACACGCGAAGGUUAUGAGUGGACUUGGGAUCGUUCGUACCCUCCCGAUGACAUUUGGAGCAUUUCAUAAUCUGGCUCUUGAAGAAGAUGGGAGACAAUUAGCACAACCCCUCAUCAUUUCCCAGUCCAAGGCCUCGACCAUCUCAAUUAGCAAUCAGUAUGUGCUAGAUCCUCAUCAAGAAUAAUCGUCUGCUUAGUCUUCUAAUUUUAAGCUGUAUUGUUGGAGAAGAGGCAGCUCGGGUUAGGUGAUAAUGACAAGAACACCAAAAUAGUUCUAGAGAAAGUUGAUCUUCUAGAUGACAAAAAAUAUCGUUCAUGUUGUAUAUCAAACUUUACUGAUCUUGAGAUGUCUAACAGAGGACAUCAUUCAUGUAAAGAAGUAUUAAACUUUAAUGAUCAACUAGAUUUUGACCCGCACGCCCGUGCGGGUGUA
Molecule: RNA transcript, 983 nt
Organism: Raphanus sativus (radish)
Lineage: Eukaryota; Viridiplantae; Streptophyta; Magnoliopsida; Brassicales; Brassicaceae
Exons: 4
Source: RefSeq, a predicted model, not a curated record